Molecule: small RNA, 551 nt
Filed under: Pan troglodytes (chimpanzee)
Lineage: Eukaryota; Metazoa; Chordata; Mammalia; Primates; Hominidae
Description: retained intron
Source: RNAcentral
ACGAUGCAAGUGUCAGCUUGUGUUGGCCGGUUGCCUUUCUUUCGCAAGAGGGGAAAAUAUCCUCACAGACUUUCUGUGUUCUCAGAGACGAUCUUCUUCCCUAGAAAGAAGUCGCUUACGGUUGGCGUUUCCCUCAGGCAGCGCCGUGGGCAGCCCACAGGCCCUUGUAAGGCGCGCGCCGCGGCCCCGCCUCUUUCCUUUCGGCCGGAACCGCCAUCUUCCAGUAAUUCGCCAAAAUGACGAACACAAAGGGAAAGAGGAGAGGCACCCGAUAUAUGUUCUCUAGGCCUUUUAGAAAACAUGGAGUUGUUCCUUUGGCCACAUAUAUGCGAAUCUAUAAGAAAGGUGAUAUUGUAGACAUCAAGGUAAACAUAAAAUUGGGAAAAUAAUACUACAGAAGAUAGAAAAGUUGGAUUUAAUCUAGUGUAGGAAUUCAAAUACUAGUGUAUAUUGCAUCUGUAAGAGUAUAGAAUGGAUUUUUUUUUUUUUUUUUUUGGAAACAGAGUUUCACUCUUGUUGCUCAGGCUGGAGUGCAAUGGCACGAUCUCACU